RNAcentral lists this ribosomal RNA (164 nucleotides) under Cologania pallida. RNAcentral describes it as "5.8S ribosomal RNA". It matches the Rfam family "5.8S ribosomal RNA". From Rfam's summary of the family: 5.8S ribosomal RNA (5.8S rRNA) is a component of the large subunit of the eukaryotic ribosome. It is transcribed by RNA polymerase I as part of the 45S precursor that also contains 18S and 28S rRNA. Lineage: Eukaryota; Viridiplantae; Streptophyta; Magnoliopsida; Fabales; Fabaceae. The record is from RNAcentral.
CAAAAUGACUCUCGGCAACGGAUAUCUCGGCUCUUGCAUCGAUGAAGAACGUAGCGAAAUGCGAUACUUGGUGUGAAUUGCAGAAUCCCGUGAACCAUCGAGUCUUUGAACGCAAGUUGCGCCCGAAGCCAUUAGGUUGAGGGCACGCCUGCCUGGGUGUCACA